Molecule: transfer RNA, 50 nt
Filed under: Habenaria dives
Lineage: Eukaryota; Viridiplantae; Streptophyta; Magnoliopsida; Asparagales; Orchidaceae
Description: partial tRNA-Leu
Source: RNAcentral
AGAAUCCGUCGAAUUUGAAAAUCGUGAGGGUUCAAGUCCCUCUAUCCCCA